Molecule: ribosomal RNA, 909 nt
Filed under: Microdochium sorghi
Lineage: Eukaryota; Fungi; Ascomycota; Sordariomycetes; Xylariales; Microdochiaceae
Description: eukaryotic LSU rRNA
Rfam family: Eukaryotic large subunit ribosomal RNA (bases 302-909)
Source: RNAcentral
CUGGCAUCGAUGAAGAACGCAGCGAAAUGCGAUAAGUAAUGUGAAUUGCAGAAUUCAGUGAAUCAUCGAAUCUUUGAACGCACAUUGCGCCCAUUAGUAUUCUAGUGGGCAUGCCUGUUCGAGCGUCAUUACAACCCUAAAGCCUAGCUUUGUGUUGGGAGACUGCGCUAAACCGCAGCUCCUCAAAACCAGUGGCGGAGUCCUCUCGUGCUCUGAGCGUAGUAAUUACUUAUCUCGCUUCUUGUAACACGGUGGUCGACGGCCAUAAACCGCACUCCUUCGGGGGGCACUUUUUAAUGGUUGACCUCGGAUCAGGUAGGAAUACCCGCUGAACUUAAGCAUAUCAAUAAGCGGAGGAAAAGAAACCAACAGGGAUUGCCCUAGUAACGGCGAGUGAAGCGGCAACAGCUCAAAUUUGAAAUCUGGCUUUCGGGUCCGAGUUGUAAUUUGUAGAGGAUGCUUUUGGUUAGGUACCUUCCGAGUUCCUUGGAACAGGACGCCUUAGAGGGUGAGAGCCCCGUACGGUUGGAUGCCGAGCCUCUGUAAAGCUCCUUCGACGAGUCGAGUAGUUUGGGAAUGCUGCUCUAAAUGGGAGGUAAAUUUCUUCUAAAGCUAAAUACCGGCCAGAGACCGAUAGCGCACAAGUAGAGUGAUCGAAAGAUGAAAAGCACUUUGAAAAGAGGGUUAAAUAGUACGUGAAAUUGUUGAAAGGGAAGGGCUUGUGACCAGACCUUUGCCUUGCGGAUCAUCCGGUGUUCUCACCGGUGCACUCCGCUUGGUUGAGGCCAGCAUCAGUUCUGGCGGCGGGAUAAAGACUUCAGGAAUGUGACUCCCCCGGGAGUGUUAUAGCCUGUUGUGUAAUACCGCCACUGGGACUGAGGACCGCGCUUCGGCUAGGAUGCUGGCAUA